RNAcentral lists this ribosomal RNA (373 nucleotides) under uncultured organism. RNAcentral describes it as "bacterial SSU rRNA". It matches the Rfam family "Bacterial small subunit ribosomal RNA", at positions 526 to 896 of the family's 1533-position model. The record is from RNAcentral.
CAGAGACUGCAAGCGUUAUUCGGAUUCACUGGGCGUAAAGGGUGGCGCAGGCGGUCGUGUGUGUCAGAUGUGAAAUCCCGGAGCUUAACUCCGGAACUGCGUCUGAAACUACACGACUAGAGCAUUGGAGAGGGAAGUGGAAUUCAUGGUGUAGCAGUGAAAUGCGUAGAUAUCAUGAGGAACACCAGAGGCGAAGGCGACUUCCUGGACAAUUGCUGACGCUCAGGCACGAAAGCAUGGGGAGCAAGAGGGAUUAGAUACCCCUGUAGUCCAUGCCCUAAACGGUGCACACUAGGUCUUGGAGGAUUCGACCCCUUCAGGGCCCAAGCUAACGCGUUAAGUGUGCCGCCUGAGGACUACGGUCGCAAGACUA